Molecule: small nucleolar RNA, 116 nt
Organism: Cyclopterus lumpus (lumpfish)
Lineage: Eukaryota; Metazoa; Chordata; Actinopteri; Perciformes; Cyclopteridae
Source: Ensembl
UGCGAGAGUGAUGAGUUGCACUAAUCAGUCGGGGUGUUUUGAUGCAGUGGCGUCAAGACCCCGAUCCGACCCCAACCUGAGGACACACUGUGUGCACAGGGGCCAUCUGACUCCAC